UCUUUGAGGGGUAAUGCUGUACGUUGUAUGUUUUGUUUAUUUGAAAAUAUCUAAACUCCGUUUAUAUGAUAUGCAUAAGCGUAUAGCUUUUCCCCUUAAAUG
Molecule: microRNA precursor, 102 nt
Filed under: Musca domestica (house fly)
Lineage: Eukaryota; Metazoa; Arthropoda; Insecta; Diptera; Muscidae
Description: mir-965 microRNA precursor family
Rfam family: mir-965 microRNA precursor family
Source: Rfam by way of RNAcentral